ACACUACUCUAAUGUAUCCCCAAUAAAAAUUAUUAGUCUCUUUGUAAGCUCCUGACCUUUGUCUAAGAUUCAGACCCAAAAAUGACACUACUCUAAUGUAUCCCCAAAUCAAAAUUAUUUGUCUCUUUGUAAGCUCAUGACCUUCUCUAAGAUUCAGACCCAAAAAUGACACUACUCUAAUAUAUGUAACCACUGAUGUUUUCUCAUGAUAAAAUGGAUUACUCCUAAUUAUUAAUUCACACAUGUAUCCUUGGAAUAGUCUACAAUUUGCUGAUGCCUAUAUGAUGCAUAACAACGAAGGUAAAGCACGCUCAGCUAGACCAUUAGUGUAUGACAAAACAUGGACUACUGUACAGCUCACAUAC
RNAcentral lists this long non-coding RNA (365 nucleotides) under Brachypodium distachyon (stiff brome). RNAcentral describes it as "long non-coding RNA (BDIS_LNC002658)". Lineage: Eukaryota; Viridiplantae; Streptophyta; Magnoliopsida; Poales; Poaceae. The record is from RNAcentral.